This 266-nucleotide long non-coding RNA is filed under the name Vitis vinifera (wine grape). RNAcentral describes it as "long non-coding RNA (VVIN_LNC002048)". The record is from RNAcentral. Lineage: Eukaryota; Viridiplantae; Streptophyta; Magnoliopsida; Vitales; Vitaceae.
GAAUUAUAUGGAGAAGGUGGAUCAAGGAAGAGGGCAUCCCUCAGCUACUUCAUGUAGGUGUCUUAUGUGUAUAGCUGCAGCAUUCCUUAUUUAGUUCAUUCUUCUUCUACUUCACCGUAAGAUGCCCCAGCUGAGAUAUAGGGACUGAUACACCAGUGGAAAUUCCAUUGCAGCUCCCACCCCCAUUGUAUGAUAUAUAGGUGUAUGUGUAUUUUUCCUCAUCCCAUCCAUUAGAAAUUUUUAAAUAUUAUCUAACCAAAGCAUUU